Molecule: ribosomal RNA, 557 nt
Filed under: uncultured bacterium
Lineage: Bacteria
Description: bacterial SSU rRNA
Rfam family: Bacterial small subunit ribosomal RNA
Source: RNAcentral
ACGGGUGAGUAACGCGUGGAUAUCUGCCUUUUGGUUCGGAAUAACCCCGGGAAACUGGGGCUAAUACCGGAUGGUUCCUUCGGGAUAAAGAUUUAUCGCCAAAAGAUGAGUCCGCGUCCGAUUAGCUAGUUGGUGAGGUAAUGGCUCACCAAGGCGACGAUCGGUAGCUGGUCUGAGAGGACGAUCAGCCACACUGGGACUGAGACACGGCCCAGACUCCUACGGGAGGCAGCAGUGGGGAAUAUUGGACAAUGGGGGCAACCCUGAUCCAGCCAUGCCGCGUGAGUGAUGAAGGCCUUCGGGUCGUAAAGCUCUUUUGGCGGGGACGAUGAUGACGGUACCCGCAGAAUAAGCCCCGGCUAACUUCGUGCCAGCAGCCGCGGUAAGACGAAGGGGGCUAGCGUUGUUCGGAAUUACUGGGCGUAAAGCGAGUGUAGGUGGUUGUCCAAGUUGGAUGUGAAAGCCUUGAGCUCAACUCAAGAAAUGCAUUCAGGACUGGGCGGCUAGAGGACCGGAGAGGAUAGUGGAAUUCCCAGUGUAGUGGUGAAAUACGUAGA